UUUAAAAGUAAACAGACCAGUUAUGUGACAAAAUGGGUAAAACCAUGUGUAUUACGCUAAUUUUCUUAAUUAUAAAGAUGCUUUCUUUAACUUUUUGUAUUUGAAGGAUGAGCAUGUCACAGUUKCUUUAAAGUCCGUCCAGUGGUUGGUGAGAUAUUUUGCUAACAGACAGAGACAAUAAUCCCCCGGCUCCGCCUCCAUCGCUCGCUGUCAGAUUAUGACUCAAUCUGAGGAGACGGGUCCAUUAGUCCAGAGUUUCAGACAGUAAGAGGCUCCGCCCCCUUUCUCCUCCUGACUGGGAGGAAGACGUGCAGGAGACGGACAGGAGGAGACAGGGAGGAGAGGCGAAAAAAGCCUCGCAGCAGAGCCCGGUCCGGCUCGGCUCGGCUCGGCUCGGCUCGGUCCAUCCCCGUCCUUCCCGCAGACCCAUCUGGACCCUGUCUGGGUCCGGUGCCGCCUCGUGGCCUCUGACGCUCCUGUUCUCCUCCUGACGCCGAGCGCUCGGGUCUCGACCUUAAACUGCAAAAACACAAACGGUCCAGGUAAGGAGACGUUUUUACACUUUUCUGAUUGUUUAUMUUAAUAAAAACCAUCAUUUCUUUUAUCUAAACAAUACAUUUAAA
Molecule: long non-coding RNA, 623 nt
Organism: Austrofundulus limnaeus
Lineage: Eukaryota; Metazoa; Chordata; Actinopteri; Cyprinodontiformes; Rivulidae
Exons: 3
Source: RefSeq, a predicted model, not a curated record